This is a long non-coding RNA of Peromyscus californicus insignis, 4735 nucleotides long. RefSeq lists it as uncharacterized. The transcript has 2 exons. NCBI's taxonomy places the organism in Eukaryota, Metazoa, Chordata, Mammalia, Rodentia, Cricetidae. The record is from RefSeq and is a predicted model, not a curated record.
GCCUGGGGUGGGUGAAGAGAGGCCACAGAACCCACCAGAGCGGCAGAAAGUAAAGCUGACGAGCUGGGGGGAACUGACCCUGCGGGGGAACUGGCCUCGAGUGGAAACGUAACCCUGAAAAUCCUCCAUGGUGUUCUAUCCAUUUAUAGACACUGAAACCAAGACCCAGAGCAGUUCCAAGUUAUUGGCCCAAGGUCAGAGAGUUGCAAGCAAUGGAUCGGGAUCUGAACCAAGAAGCUGAGCUCUGGCGUUGGAUCUGAAACCCCAGGCUGGACUUAUUUUCCAAAUCCUUCGUUCCCUGGUGGGAUUUUUCUAGUUUCCUGAUGGAUAGUGUUGUCAAGUUUAAUAAGUAAAAAUAACAGGGCACCCAUGGAGAUUAGAAAAAAAAACUUUGCUGUUUAUCUAAAGUUCAAAUGGAUUGUUUGACUGGGUGGAGGGCUCUAGACUCCUCUUUGCACUAAUCCUGAACUUGCCUUUCCAAGCCAGGGGCAGGUCCCACCUUUGGCCAGUCAGUUGUACAGUUGUGGCUGGAUACAGAAUGUCAAAGUAUUUGCUUUCAUGAACUAAAGAUUGACACCACCAUCCCCACCCCACCCUCAUUGCUGCUUAAGAAGGGCCCUGUUCUCUGGAGCACUGUUCAGAGGAUGUUCACGUCAGGAAGGGCCACAUUCCUUGGAGCACCGUUCAGUGGAUGCUCAUGUCUGGAGGGGCCACACUACACUCCCUGUACCACUGUUCAGUGGAUGUGAGUGUCAGGAAGGGCCACGUUCCCCCCAGCACUGUUCAGUGGAUAUGAGUGUCAGGAAGGGCCACGUUCCCCCCAGCACUGUUCAGAGGAGGCAUGUGUCAGGCCACUCCUGUGACUGAGAGCUUCUGAGAACUGGCACUAGAAAGCGUGGUGGUGUAUGCCUGCUAUCCCAGCACUAGGAAGGCUGAGGCAGGAGGAUCAGAAAUUCAAGGUCACCUUCUUCUACUAGUGAGUCUGAGACCAGCUGGAGAUCCAGGAGACCCAUUUUUAAAAAAACAAACAAGAAGAAAAAUCUUAGAAAACAAAAAUAAAUAAGCAAACAGGUAGCAAAGCAGUUGUAAUCACUUUUGACGUCAUGUCUUUGUACAGUCAACUGAAACAGUAUUAUUGUGGCUCACACCUGUGAUCCCAGCACUAGGAAGGCUGAGGCAGGAGGAUUGCCCAAAGUCAAACCAGGCUAUAUAGUGAGACUGUCUCAGAGGCACUCAGAACAACAACAGACAAGUAUAAAUGUGAUCUUUUUGUGUUCUUUUCUUUCUCUGUAACAUGUAAUUUUAUAUUUACAACACUGCUCACUUUGGGCCCCACUGUGCCUUGGGCUCCUCCUCCCAGGAAGCACCGUUCCAGCAGGUUCUGUGGCCAUCUGAAGAGCAUUUGCACCUGGUCAUCACAUUUUCAUUCCCGAACUUUGGAGAACGUGGAUGCUCAGCGAGUAAGAUCUAACCCAGUGACGGCGACAUCAGCACCUGACCCCAGCUCAUUCUUUACUGAGGAGAGGACAGAGUUUAAGGACAAGCCUGUAUGCAUGGGACUCUCAUCAGCUAAGACACCCAGAGGGUCUGCAAAGUCUCCGGUCACAUGUCUUCCCCUAAUUCUUAGUGAACUCCUAACCCUGUUGGUCUGGGCCUCAGCCUGUGGCCCAGGCUCCUUCCAGGUGACUGAGGACUUCUGGCGCCACUCAAGAAUUUCUGUGUCUGUCUGAAGACGUGAGGGGCUUCAGUGUCAGAUGUCCCCCAGCCUGGGGAGUCAUGGUCUCUUCCACGAUUGACUCUGGCCAAGGUGGGCUAAACAGAGUCCUCAGGACCUUCAGGGUUUCCUGAGUCUCCAGUCCCUGCCUUUCUAAGCAUGUGGUCUAAGGCCAGUUUUCUAUUGUGUUCCCUGUGCCCCUGAUGACGGUCAUCACUACAAAUGCCCCAGCUGGACAACUGUGGAGCCUUGUAAGCUCCUCAGGCUGCCCUCACUCCAUUGUUGGCUUAACUUUGACAAACUUUGUUCUGAUGCCCCAAGCCUUGCUUUUCCCCUUGGGAGUCCCUUGCUAUACAGGACAUUGUGGGUCCUACCCACCCUACGAGGUCCUUCCCGGUCUUACUUCCUUGACUCUCUGGCGACGGUGGGAACCCACAUGCCUCUUUCUGAACCUCUCUGCAUCCCAGCACACAGGUUGAAACCCAGUCAGAUUGUUUAAACUUUUCUGGCCAUCAGGGCCAGAGUCGAUGGUAGUUUACGAGGGUUAUAAAAGACAACCUUUUAACAUGUCUGAAACAAAUUGGCGUGUAAAGGAGAAACACUAAACCGAGGGACAUGGCUGCAGACUGGAGGCUCUGCUGAGGCCCCACGCUCUGGGGCACAGGUGGCUUUAAUAAUGCAUGCAAGUUUGACUGUGACUCGCCCCUCCAAGAGAAGCCUGAGUCCCCUCCCAGGGUAGAGAUCAAUCUCCCCAGCUCCUGAGUGGAGAUGGGCUUUUGCGGGGCUUUUAAAAUACACAUUUGAGUAUCUUGCAAAACAGUAUGAAUUUGUGGUUAGUUCUGCUGAAAUCUUAGUUAGAACGCAAGUUGUCUUGUCAGGAGAAAUACCCUGGUAUUAGCGUGAAGCUGUUUAUAUAUAUCUUCAGAUAUCGUGAUAGCGAGAGCAGCUCCACAAGUCCCCAUUAAACCUAACACUAAUUGUAUUUCAUGUGGCCUCCCUGGGCAGCACACGGCCACAGACAGGCUUUACUUCAGCAAAACACAGCUAUCUUUGCAUCGCCACAGCCGUUUCCCCCUUUAAUUACAUGUAAUUGUAGAGUCUAAUUUAUUCUAACGCCUGACGCCUAAAAGUGCGCAUUUAGGAAUCAAGGGCUAGUUUGAGAGGGAGGAGAAUUAUAAACCACUAUAAUUGCCGCGAGCAGUCGCGAAGAGUGAUGGUGUUUACUGUGAAUUCUUACCAGGGAAAGCGUGGGACAGUCCCCAGUUAAGACACUCUUCAAAGGCCACAGGUCAUGGAGACAAACAAUGGACUCAUUGUUUGAUGGUAUACCAUUGGUCUUUUUCGGAGAAACAGGCCAAAAAGUUUAAAUGCGUGCCUCUGUGUCCCCUGUGUGGCCCUGGUAAACGAGGGUAAACCAACAGUGUGAGGACAGGUGGAGCUGAUAAUAAGAACAGCCAUGAGGCCCUGGGCAGAGAGAGGCCUCUCUGCAGACAAGGUGGAUCAAAGGGGAUUUUCUUUUCAAGUUUUUUUUUUUAAUUAUCUACAAGUGCAUCUGUGUGUGGGUAUGUGCAUGUGUGUGCAAUGCCCUCAGCAGCCUAAAGAGGGCGUCAGAUCCCCCUGAACAGGGCAUCAGGUCUCCUGGAGCUGGAGUUCUAAGCAGUUAUAAGCAGCCUGACAUGGAUGCUGGGAACCCAACUUUGAUUUUCUGCAAAGGUAGCAUGUGUUCUUAACUUCUGGGCCAUCUCUCCAGCCCUGAGAUCUUUGUUUUCUUGAGGGGAAAUGCACAAUCCAUUUCUUCAUAAGUGUUAUUCGAUCUAGGGCUUUCUCUGGGACAGUAUAUCUAGUUUUAUGAUUGAAUUCCAGAAAAAUCACUUCUGAGCUUUGAUUAUAGUUCAUAGAUUGUGAUUAUGGAUGGUGGGCUAAUGACUCGAUGCUUUUCCAGUCCAAGAUCCUAACAACCUGCCACUGACCAGCAGGUGGUUCCUUUGCUGACUGAUCCCCUCCACCCCCUACUCAAUUUUCUCAUUUAAGAAUGGAGACUAUGGGGCUAUGGAGGUGGCUUGGUUGGGAAAAUGUUUUCUUUGGAAGCAUGAGGACCUGAGUGCAACCCCCAGAAUCUAUGUAGAAAGCCAGGUAUGGCUGCAUACCUAUAAUUCCAGUGCUUAGAUGGAGGUGGGGAUAGAGGAGGGUGAUCAGGGACACUUGGCAUUAAUCUCUGGCCUCUGUCUUCAUCUAGUAUUGGCCACUUAAUUUUUUGAGACAGAGUCUCUCACUGAACCCCGAAAUCAAUGAUUUUGCAAGAUUGGCCGGGGAUCUGAACUCAGGUGCACGUGUUGUGUGAUGAAUUCUUCAGCCGCCGAGCUGUCUCCCCAGUGCCUCUCAGUCAAAUAUGAGCACUGGAAGGACAAUACGGUGGAGGCAUUUGAACCCUCCACCUGAGGCCACAGUAGAUUAUGUUGAUCACGUGGGCUUGAUAUGUUGCUGGGUCCCUUGGCAGGAGGCUGCAGACAUGGUGACGCCAUUAGCCCUCAGGACUGGAGCGGGCAUCUCCGAGGAGUAUGCUGCUUUCCCAGAUGGCCUUCCCAUCAUUAUGGCAUCUAAGGAAAUUAACAGUAAUUCUGUAAUCGCUCCCAGCUUGCUCCCAUUAACAGAGCCACAGAAGUAUUUUUUUCUUUGUUUCUCAAGCCCUUUUCUGCCUCAGGGCCUUUGCACUUGCUCUGCCCUCUCCCUAGAAGACUCAACAAGUUUCAUUCUACCAGUUCUGUGUCGUUACAGGCUUCAGCUCAGAUGUCACCUCCCCAAGACUCUUCCCUGUACGUUUUACCUAAAGACACUUCCUGGCCACUCUUCACCCACCUCCCCACAUUAUCAUCUUCCUAUAAUAUGCUGCCAUCUGACAUUCUUUUUCUUCUCCCUUGGCUGGCCUGAAACUCUCUAUGUAGACCAGGCUGGCCUUGAACUCACAGAGCUCCGCCUGCCUCUGCCUCAUGAGUGCUGGGAUUAAAGGCACAUGCUACCACA